Molecule: ribosomal RNA, 411 nt
Filed under: uncultured bacterium
Lineage: Bacteria
Description: bacterial SSU rRNA
Rfam family: Bacterial small subunit ribosomal RNA
Source: RNAcentral
GUGUUCAACCGCCGCGGUAUUACGGAGGGUGCAAGCGUUAUUCGGAAUUACUGGGUUUAAAGGGUGCGUAGGCGGUUAAAUAAGUUGUCAGUGAAAGGCUACGGCUCAACUGUAGUAGCGCUGGCGAUACUGUAUAACUAAGGACAUGGGAGGGGUACCUGGAAUGUGUGGUGUAGCGGUGAAAUGCGUAGAUAUCACACAGAACACCGGAGGCAAAGGCGGGGUACUAGACCAUAGUUGACGCUGAGGCACGAAAGCGUGGGGAUCAAACAGGAUUAGAUACCCUGGUAGUCCACGCCCUAAACGAUGAUCACUAGAUAUUGGCGACAGACAGUCAGUGUCCAAGCGAAAGUGAUAAGUGAUCCACCUGGGGAAUACGGCCGCAAGGUUAAAACUCAAAUAAAUUGGCGG